This 1472-nucleotide ribosomal RNA is filed under the name Parabacteroides distasonis. Its description in RNAcentral is "partial 23S ribosomal RNA". It matches the Rfam family "Bacterial large subunit ribosomal RNA", at positions 1 to 1493 of the family's 2925-position model. Lineage: Bacteria; Pseudomonadati; Bacteroidota; Bacteroidia; Bacteroidales; Tannerellaceae. The record is from RNAcentral.
GAGAAAGUAAGCAAGGGCAGACGGUGGAUGCCUUGGCUCUCGGAGGCGACGAAGGACGUGAUAAGCUGCGAAAAGCUCGGGGGAGGCGCAAAUAGCCCUUGAUCCCGGGAUAUCCGAAUGGGGCAACCCGGCAGGCUGAAGGCCUGCCAUCCCGUAAGGGAGGCGAACGUGGGGAACUGAAACAUCUAAGUACCCAUAGGAGGAGAAAAUAAACAAUGAUUCCGUAAGUAGUGGCGAGCGAACACGGAAGAGCCCAAACCCGUGGCGUCUAGGCGACACGGGGGUUGUAGGACCACGACGUGGCAAGAUAGAGUCAAGUGGAACGCCUUGGAAAAGGCGACCGUAGAGGGUGAUAGUCCCGUACACGACUGACGAUUGAAGCCUAGUGGUAUCCUGAGUAGCGCGGGGCACGAGAAAUCUUGCGUGAAACUGCGGGGCCCAUCCCGUAAGGCUAAAUACUCCCGAGAGACCGAUAGCGAACCAGUACCGUGAGGGAAAGGUGAAAAGAACCCCGAGCAGGGGAGUGAAAUAGACCCUGAACCCGUCUGCCUACAAGCGGUCGGAGCAUUGUCAAGAUGUGACGGCGUGCCUUUUGCAUAAUGAACCUACGAGUUACCUUCCCCGGCAAGGUUAAGUACCUAAGGUACGGAGCCGAAGCGAAAGCGAGUCUGAAGAGGGCGGCCAGUCGGGGGGGGUAGACGCGAAACCGAGUGAUCUACCCUUGGCCAGGUUGAAGGUUGGGUAACACCAACUGGAGGACCGGAUGGGUAAGCGUUGAAAAGCUUUCCAAUGAGCUGAGGGUAGGGGUGAAAGGCUAAUCAAACUCGGAGAUAGCUCGUACUCCCCGAAAUGCAUUUAGGUGCAGCCUCUUUAUAGUAUAUCGUGAGGUAGAGCGACUGAUUGGAUGCGAGGGCUUCACCGCCUAUCAAGUCCAGAUAAACUCCGAAUGCGCGAUAUAUAUUUAAAGGGAGUGAGGGCGCGGGUGCUAAGGUCCGUGUCCGAGAGGAGAAGAAUCCAGACCACCGGCUAAGGCCCCCAAAUGAUCGUUGAGUUGAACUAACGAGGUCGGAUCGCAGAGACAGCUAGGAUGUUGGCUUGGAAGCAGCCAUUCAUUUAAAGAGUGCGUAACAGCUCACUAGUCGAGCGAUCUGGCGUGGAUAAUAAUCGGGCAUAAACGAUCUGCCGAAGCCGUGGAUGUCGCAAGACAUGGUAGGGGAGCAUUCCAUGCGGCGUCGAAGAUGAGGGAUGACCCUUGUUGGAGCGCAUGGAAAAGCAAAUGUAGGUAUGAGUAACGAUAAGGGGGGCGAGAAACCCCCCCGCCGAAAGACCAAGGUUUCCUGAUCAACGCUAAUCGGAUCAGGGUGAGUCGGGACCUAAGGCUAAGCCGAACGGCGACGCCGAUGGAAGAAUGGGUUAAUAUUCCCAUACUGCCUCAUGGAGUGACGUGGAGACGGAGAAGUGACAGUCCUGCC